Long non-coding RNA from Fukomys damarensis (Damara mole-rat), 4586 nucleotides. Lineage: Eukaryota; Metazoa; Chordata; Mammalia; Rodentia; Bathyergidae. The record is from Ensembl.
AGCGGUGGAGAACCAGUGUCCUGCGCAUGCGCCCCGCAGGUCGGGUGCGGGAGAAACCUGGCAGCCACUUUGACGCGAGCGGGCGGCCUCGGCCACAGAGCCCUUGACAAGGGCGCCGGACAAGCCCAGGCUAUCCUGCUCAUCGUACCUUCCGUUGCAUUGCCAGGCCUGCCGCUCGGCCCCAAGGCUGGGCCAGUGAAGUGAGUCCUCCCACACGGCCCGACUCAGCGCAGCAGCUCGUCCUAGUGUCCUCCCCGCCCCGCUACCGAAAGUGCAGCUGCCGCCCAAGGAGAGCAACCUCUUCAAACGUAUCCUGGUGGGUGGCAGGCGGGCCGGCCCUCGCGCUUGCCAGGAACUUCCCGGGGCCGUCUGCGGCGCCCCGAUCCUCGCCAGUCCCCCUCGGGCGACGUUCGUCCCUGCUUUGCACCCCAGUACCUGUGGAAGCCCAGCCUUCAGCCGUCAGAAAUGUUAUGAACAGAAGCAAUACAAAAAUGGCCUCAAGUUUUGCAAGAUGAUUCCUUCAAACCCCAAAUUUGCUGAACAUGGAGGUGAUGUUUUAUCUGUUGAGAGACUGCUGUGGGGAAAUCUAACGGCCAUGACUCUUAACAAUGAAAGAAUACUGUACUUCCCUACAUUCCAAGGCUUUGCAGCUCCCUGUUGACUGCAUAAUUGUCUGGGAUAUGUAGUGUGUUUUUACUUUUAGAUGAGAAAUGGUUGAUCUACUGGGGGUAAAAUUGGAUGAGGUAAUAUAUAAGUUACUUGGGAUCAGAAGUGUUACAGAGUUCCAUAGUUUCCCUGAUUUUGGAAUAUUUGUAUAUAAUACCAAUUGAGCACCUCUAAUCCAAAAACCCAGAAAUCAGAUUUGUUUGUUUGUUUUGUUUUUUGAGACAGGGUCUCACUAUGUAGUUGAAACUGACCUGGAACUCACUAUGUAGCCCAGGCUGGUCUCGAACUCACAGCGAUCCUCCUGUCUCAGCCUCCCAAGUGCUCUGUACUAGUAUUUUUAUAGACCCAGUUUCCUUUAUUAUUUUGAGUACUAUUUUAAGUUUAUACCUUGAUUUCCUGUUUAUAAAAUUAGGACAAUAUUUUCACUGCAAAGUAGUCUAAAGAUAAAAAAUCAUAUGUAUUCUAUUCUUCAGUAGAUAUGCUUUUUAUAUUUCUGCUGAUAUUUGUCAGCAAAUAUCAAUAUGGUAUCAAUAAAAAAAUGGUAUGACUGAUCUACUCGUAGGUGAUUUUUUUUUGGUUUUUUUGGUACAAGAUUGAACUCAGGACCUUGUGCUUGUGAGGCAGGUGGCAGCACCACUGAACUAAAUCCCCAGCAGAUUUUGUUUUGAAUUAUUCUUCUAGCACUGGUGUUAAUACAGUCCAUAUUUGUUUCUUUUACCUUGUUUCAUUGGUAGCCAAUGUUUGUCAAAAGGAUUAGGCUAAACAUAAAAAUUAUUGUGCAAAAGCAUUACAAAACUAGUUGAGGUCUGAAUAUCAGUGGUGGUAAACUUGGGCCCAGGAUUUAGCUCAGUGGUGCCACUGCCUGCUUUGCAAGCACAAGGUCCCGAAUUCAGUCCAGAGUAACCACCCUCUGCAAAAGAAAGAAAUGUGAUGAAGCUAUUAAGUGCUACCAAAAUGCUCUCAGGUUGGAUAAAGAAAAUCUUCAAAUUUUGAGGGAUCUCUCUGUUGCAGAUCCAAAUGAGAGACCUUGAAGGUUACUGUGUAAGUACGUCAGUCUUAAAUGAAUUUUGUUUCUUGUUUUUUGGUGGUGUUUUAGUUUUUGUGUUUUUUUUUUCUUUUUUUGAGACAGGGUCUUACUAUGUAAUUGAGACUGACGUGUGUUUUAGUUUUUUGAGACAGAGUCUCACCAUGGAGUCCAGGCUGUUCUUGGACUCACUGUGUAAUGUAGUCAGGCCUUGAACUCCUGGCAAUCCUCUUGCCUUAGCCUUUGGAGCGAUGGGAUUACAGGCCUGCACCACCAUGCCUGGCACGAAUUUUGUUUUUUAGCAGUAGGUUAAAUUUAAAGCCAUGUGAAUCCGCAAUUAUGUGAGCAUCAGCCAGUUUGAUUUAGUAGAAUCUGUAGUAAGAGGAGAAAGUCAUUUAGCACCUUCCAACAUUAUUAAUUCUGUUUUUUUUAAACCGGGAAUUGAACUCAGAGCCUCACACUUGCCAGGCAAAUGUUGUACCGCUGAGCUAUAUUCUCAGCCCCCCAACAGUAUUAAUUCUGGAACAUCAUAGUUAAGUAUUAAAUAGGGAUAAACUGUAUACUUAUGUAAUUAAAAAAAAACCUAGAAUGUCUUCAUGUCUUAUAUGCAGAUGCUGUACUAGAGGCCUGUGGGUUUGGGUUUCAGUAUUUUUGUGUUUUGUUAUUGUUGUUGUUGUUUCAUUGAGAUAGGGUCUCUGUGUAGUUCAGGCUCGCUUUGAACUCACUGUGUAACCUAAGCUAGCCUUCAACUCCUGCUCAGCCUCCCAAGUGCUGGGAUUACAGGUGUAUGCCUGGCUUUGACAUUCGGUUUUUGUAGUUGAAAUAAAAUAUAAAAAUUAGUGUCCCCAGCCAGGUGUGGUGGCACAUGCCUGUAAUCCCCGCACUUGGGAGGCUGAGGCAGGAGGAUCGCUGUGAGUUCGAGAUUGGCCUGGGCUACAUAUGAGUUCCAGUUCAGUCUCAACUACAUAGUGUGACCCUGUCUCAAAAAAAAAGGAGUGUAGGGAUGGGGAUUUGGCUCAGUGGUUCCGCCACUUGCUUUGCAAGCGCAAGGGCCUGAGUUCAAUCCCCAGCACCAAAAAAAAAAAAAAAAAAAAAAAAAAAAAGGAAUGGAAAAUUAUACCUGUGGCAUAUGGUGUGCCUGGACUCACUUGGCAUCCAUUCUAACCAAGUAACAACAGAAUCGUGGAAAUCGAACACUUUUCCAGUUAAUGUUCUUCAUGCGACCCUGUUCUUCCAAGCAAUAUCACUUGCUUAAACCUUGAAAAAAAAAAAAGUGAGCCUUGAGACAUGGGACCUCUGUAAGGAGGCUGGUUUUUCUGUUCAGACAGAUACUGCUUUUUCUAGGCCAUGAUUGAAUUUAUGGUUAUUUGACCCUAAUAUUAAAGAAAUUGAGCUUUCUUACAGCGAAAGUAGAUGUGUUUCUGCUAGAGGAGACAAUUCAGGUCUUUUUUCCUUGACUAUGUUCAUCCUGUCUCUGGGGUCAACAUAAAUAGAUUGUAUUUCAUAUACUUUUUAAAGAAUCUAGUAUAAUAAAAAGCCAUUGCAGUCUUUUUCAGUAAAAAAUGUUUAAAUUUAUAAGAAGAAAUUUUUAUUAUAAGGUAUUUUAUAAGUGAGCCCAUAGGCAUGACCCCCCCAAAAGUAAGAUUUCCUUGAUAGCCUCACAAUAUUGCAAGGUAUUAAUAUAACUAAUAAAAGAAACCCAAGGUUUUUUUGUUGUUGUUGCUGUUUUUGGCACUGGGCAUUGAACUCAGGUCCUUGUGCUUGUAAGGCAGGUGGCAGAACCACUAAGCUAAAUCCCUGGCCUGAAACCUAAGUAAUUUUGAUAAGAAAUGUGAAAAAUAUUUCUAUACUAUUCUGGAACUGGUGUUUAUUGUCUUCACUAAAAAAGUAUUAAACACAUUAGAUUGUUCUCUUAAAACUCAUGAAAUAUAAACACUUUGGAGAAAAUUAAAAUUUAAAAAAAUAAAAACCAAUUUUUUUUUUUUUAAUUAAAGGAGACGAUACCAGCUUUUGUAGUUGCAUCCAACACAGUGUGCUUCCUGUAUUGGAUAUGCCACUGCAUGCCAUUUGCUGAAAAAUUAUGAUAUGGCAAUAAAAUUGCUGGAAGAAGUUAGAUAAACUCAGCAAGUAAGAGCAUUAUUUUAACAUUUCCUACCUUCACAGAAUAAAAUAGUUGAUUUCUAAACUGCCUCCACCCCCAAAUUUGAAUUAAUCUUUGAAACCUAUGAAAAAACUGAAAACUUUAUGAAAUAAUGGAAAAAGUGAAGAUAUGGAAUUCUUACUGCAAAUAAAUAAUAUAAAAAUUUGUAUACUAUAAUUUCAACAGUAUUCAAAUAAGUAGAGAAGGAAAAUAUGUAAAAAUAAAAACGGGCUUGUCGAAUUGUUUAUCUAGUAAGUAUAUAUACUAUAUAUAUACUAGUGUAUGCAUAUAUAUAUAUAUAUAUACACACAUAUAUAUUACUUUAUGUAACUGAAGAUGUGCCCCAGUACUUGAGUCCCUGCUUAGCAUGCACAAGUUGCAAUACUAGAUUUGAUCCCCAGCACUUCCAAAACAAUUAAAUAUGUGUAUAUAACACUUUGUUUUAUAUAAUGCAUUUUAAUGUAUUUGUAUUUAUAUACAAAAUCGAAAAAUGUGACAGCAUAUACUUGUGUAUCAUCAGAGAAAUGAGACGUUAACAUUUUACAUAAUUGCUCUAGAUUUUAUUAUUAAAAACAAUAAAAUGUUGCAGAAAUGGCUAGAGUCCUCCUAUGUGCCUUUCCGAGGUAACCACUAUUCUGAAAUUAGUAGAGAUCACUGAUGGUGAACCUAUGGCAUCUGUGCCACAGCCAGCUGUUUGUUAUGAAAGCUCUAAAAAGUUUGCCUUAAAAAUAAAAAAAAUAAAAAGUUUGCCUCCAC